AUACGUAGGGGACGAGCGUUGUCCGGAUUUAUUGGGUUUAAAGGGAGCGUAGGUGGGAUAUUAAGUCAGCUGUGAAAGUUUGGGGCUCAACCUUAAAAUUGCAGUUGAUACUGGUUUCCUUGAGUACGGUACAGGUGGGCGGAAUUCGUGGUGUAGCGGUGAAAUGCUUAGAUAUCACGAAGAACUCCGAUCGCGAAGGCAGCUCACCGGGCCGGAACUGACACUGAUGCUCGAAAGUGCGGGUAUCAAACAGGAUUAGAUACCCUGGUAGUCCGCACAGUAAACGAUGAAUACUCGCUGUUUGCGAUACACUGUAAGCGGCCAAGCGAAAGCGUUAAGUAUUCCACCUGGGGAGUACGCCGGCAACGGUGAAACUCAAAUGAAUUGACGGGG
RNAcentral lists this ribosomal RNA (393 nucleotides) under uncultured bacterium. Its description in RNAcentral is "partial 16S ribosomal RNA". It matches the Rfam family "Bacterial small subunit ribosomal RNA", at positions 523 to 918 of the family's 1533-position model. The record is from RNAcentral.